Thalassophryne amazonica is the source of this 148-nucleotide long non-coding RNA. RefSeq lists it as uncharacterized. The record is from RefSeq and is a predicted model, not a curated record. Lineage: Eukaryota; Metazoa; Chordata; Actinopteri; Batrachoidiformes; Batrachoididae. The transcript is spliced from 3 exons.
CACCCAUUUGUGGAUAGUAUGGCGGUCAAAACACCGGCGAAAUGCUCCGCCCCUUUCCACCGCGAAAACAGCCGGAACUACCGCGAACUUUGGUCUUCGUACUACUCGCCGACAAAACCGUCUAUGUGUAAACGGGGCUUAAGACUCA